CCCCGAGCCUGGUGCUAAUGGG
RNAcentral lists this microRNA (22 nucleotides) under Gallus gallus (chicken). RNAcentral's name for it is "microRNA Ros-gga". The record is from RNAcentral. Lineage: Eukaryota; Metazoa; Chordata; Aves; Galliformes; Phasianidae.